RNAcentral lists this ribosomal RNA (466 nucleotides) under uncultured bacterium. Its description in RNAcentral is "partial 16S ribosomal RNA". It matches the Rfam family "Bacterial small subunit ribosomal RNA", at positions 36 to 507 of the family's 1533-position model. The record is from RNAcentral.
UCUCCCCCCUGCCGCCGUGUUCAACACAUCCAAGUCGAAGGAUGAAGCCUAGCUUGCUGGGUGGAUUAGUGGCGAACGGGUGAGUAACACGUGAGUAACCUGCCCUUAACUCUGGGAUAAGCCUGGGAAACUGGGUCUAAUACCGGAUAGGAGCGUCCACCGCAUGGUGGGUGUUGGAAAGAUUUAUCGGUUUUGGAUGGACUCGCGGCCUAUCAGCUUGUUGGUGAGGUAAUGGCUCACCAAGGCGACGACGGGUAGCCGGCCUGAGAGGGUGACCGGCCACAAUGGGACUGAGACACGGCCCAGACUCCUACGGGAGGCAGCAGUGGGGAAUAUUGCACAAUGGGCGAAAGCCUGAUGCAGCGACGCCGCGUGAGGGAUGACGGCCUUCGGGUUGUAAACCUCUUUCAGUAGGGAAGAAGCGAAAGUGACGGUACCUGCAGAAGAAGCACCGGCUAACUACGUG